UACGUAGGAUGCAAGCGUUGUCCGGAAUUAUUGGGCGUAAAGAGCGCGCAGGCGGUAACUCAAGUCAGAUGUGAAAUAUCCGGGCUUAACCCGGAGGGGUCAUUUGAAACUGAGUAACUAGAGUACAGCAGAGGAUAGCGGAAUUCCCGGUGUAGUGGUGAAAUGCGUAGAUAUCGGGAGGAACACCAGUGGCGAAGGCGGCUAUCUGGGCUGAAACUGACGCUGAGGUGCGAAAGCGUGGGGAGCAAACAGG
Molecule: ribosomal RNA, 253 nt
Filed under: uncultured bacterium
Lineage: Bacteria
Description: partial 16S ribosomal RNA
Rfam family: Bacterial small subunit ribosomal RNA
Source: RNAcentral